GUUUUCGCAUUGAUGUCAAGAACCGAUUGGGCCUUUAGUUUGAUUCGAUUUGGCUUCCUUAUUAAUUCAUUUUCAAAUUCGGAUUUCAGUUCAGUUCGGUUUUUAACUGAACUGACCAAAUGAACACCCCUACCAUUUAGUCCUGUACAUUAUGAUAUUGUUCUUGAUGAAAGGCUAGCGGGCCAUUGCUUCUUCCAUUUUCUUAUUAAUAAUGCAAUCUCCAAUGUCUUAUAAUUCUUGUAACAGAAAUGCAGUUGACUGCUAUCAUCAGGUUUA
RNAcentral lists this unclassified non-coding RNA (276 nucleotides) under Hevea brasiliensis (rubber tree). The record is from RNAcentral. Lineage: Eukaryota; Viridiplantae; Streptophyta; Magnoliopsida; Malpighiales; Euphorbiaceae.